CUUUCAUAUACAUUUGAUAAAAUUUACUGUUUGCAAUAGCAUGAAUUGUUCUAUAAUAAGAAUGUUCUUAUCCCGGGCAUAAAAACAAUGCCGUAUUUGGCGAAACCUUUUCAACUUUUGAUCUUCAGUGCUGUACAACUUUGUACUUUUUUCACUUUCGAUCUUUUAUAUCUGGGCGUCACUGUUGAUUUUUGUGUGGACAAGGCGCGUUUUUGGCGUAUUGAAUUUUAAACCUGAUGCUUUUUGUUAUCUAUUAAUCAUGUUUUUCUAUGUCUAAUAUGUUCUCCUAUUUAUUUGUAUUGUAGUCCUGUAAUAUUAUGUUGUCAUCUCAAUGUUAUAUUUAACUUUGCCAUUAAAGUGCGAGGUUUGGCAUGCCACAAAACCAGGUUCAACCCACCACUUUUAUUCCCCUUUAAAAGUGUCCUGUACCAAGUCAGUAAGAUGGCCAUUGUUAUAUUAUUGUUCGUUUAUGUGUGUGUUGCAUUUUAACGUUGAGUCGUUUGUGUUUUCUCUUAUUUUAGAGAUAUUGAGAUAAGACGUGGCACAGUACUUGUCUAUCCCAAAUUCAUGUAUUUGGUUUUCAUGUUAUAUUUGUUAUUCUCGUGGUGUUUUGUCUGAUGCUUGGUCCUUUUCUUUUUUUUUUUUUUUUUUUCAACUUUAAAUAUUUUAUUUCAUUCCUGGUUGUGAACAAUGUCCCUUAGCGCUACAACAAUGACGCUAAGGUUCCUCCCUGUGUUGUUAAUUGCUAAUGAAACCAGGGGAUUUGAUUAGCAAAAUAUACUUAUAUUUAUAUCUUGUGUUAGUUGCAUUUUACAAAGUAUUCAUACGAGCACACAAUACAUACAUAUUAUUCAGUGAUCCUAUAUAUAAACAAUCAUAUGAGAAAGAAAUUAUAAUAAAAAAAAUAAAAAAAGACGGAUUUUUGUCCGUCAUUUGUUUUGAUUAUAUAAAACUAGUUUAACCGAAAGUAGAAUGAUCAAGAAUG
RNAcentral lists this long non-coding RNA (985 nucleotides) under Mytilus galloprovincialis (Mediterranean mussel). The record is from RNAcentral. Lineage: Eukaryota; Metazoa; Mollusca; Bivalvia; Mytilida; Mytilidae.